UAGGAAGCAAAUAAGGGCGUAUGGUGGAUGCCUUGGCUCUCAGAGACGACGAAGGACGUGGUAAGCUGCGAAAAGCUAUGGGGAGUUGCAAACGAGCGUUGAUCCAUAGAUGUCCGAAUGGGGCAACCCUGCACGUUGAAGAUGUGCAACCCGCCGUGAGGCGGGAGAUAACCCGGAGAACUGAAACAUCUAAGUAACCGGAGGAAAAGAGAACAAUAGUUAUACCGUGAGUAGUGGCGAGCGAAAACGGUGGAGCCCAAAAGCCAUAUAUAAGAGAGUGGAAUUACCUGGAAAGGUAAACCGUAGGGGGUGAAAGUCCCGUACACGAAGGGUAUAUAUGGGGAAACGAGAGUAAGGCGGAACCGGAGAAAUUCUGUCUGAAUAUGCCAGCACCAUCUGGUAAGGCUAAAUACUACUGAGAGACCGAUAGCGAACCAGUACUGUAAAGGAAAGGUGAAAAGAACCCUAAGAAAGGGAGUGAAAAGAACCUGAAACCAUACGCUUACAAGCGGUCGGAGUCUGCAUAAAUGUGGAUGACGGCGUGCCUUUUGCAUAAUGAGCCUACGAGUUACUCCUCACUAGCGAGUUUAAGUACUUCAGGUACGGAGGCGGAGCGAAAGCGAGUCUGAAAAGGGCGACAGAGCUAGUGGGGGUAGACGCGAAACCUAGUGAUCUACCCAUGAGCAGGUUGAAGGUGGGAUAGUCUCCCACUGGAGGACCGAACCGGUAAACGUUGAAAAGUUUUCGGAUGACUUGUGGGUAGGGGUGAAAGGCCAAUCAAACUAGGAGAUAGCUCGUACUCCCCGAAAUGCAUUUAGGUGCAGCGUCGGCGAGAGUGUGAUGGAGGUAGAGCUACCGAUAGGGCUAGGGGGCGUCACUGCCUACCAACCCCUGACGAACUCCGAAUGCCAUUACACUGCACCGGCAGUGAGGCUAUGGGUGCUAAGGUCCAUAGCCGAGAGGGAAACAACCCAGACCAACAGCUAAGGUCCCGAAAUACUAUCUAAGUUGAACAAACGAUGUGAGAAUGCACAGACAGCUAGGAUGUUGGCUUGGAAGCAGCCAUUCAUUUAAAGAGUGCGUAACAGCUCACUAGUCGAGCGUUCUUGCGCGGAAAAUGAUCGGGCAUCAAGAUAGUUACCGAAGCUUUGGAUCCGCUUAGGCGGAUGGUAGGGGAGCAUUCUAAUUGAGUUGAAGUUGAGUUGUAAAGCUUGGUGGAUUGAUUAGAAAAGAAAAUGUAGGCAUAAGUAACGAUAAGGAAGGUGAGAUCCCUUCCCGCCGUAAGACUAAGGUUUCCUAGAUCUAUGCUAAUCAGAUCAGGGUUAGUCGGGUCCUAAGGUGUAGCCGAGAGGCGAAGCCGAUGGAAAACGGGUUAAUAUUCCCGUACCUGUGUAUACUGCGAUGGGGUGACGGAGAAACGUAAGGACUGCGAACUGACGGAAUAGUUCGUUGAAGUAAGAAGGCGUUGAGAGUGUAGGCAAAUCCGCACUUGAGCUGAUGUACGAUAGUACAGGCUUCUGCAUGCAGGAGCUUGAUAAUGUCCCCAAGUAUGCUUCCAAGAAAAACCUCUAAGCACUAGGUAUAUACAGCCCGUACCGUAAACCGACACAGGUAGUCGAGGAGAGUAUCCUAAGGCGCUCGAGUGAAUCAUGGCUAAGGAAUUAGGCAAAAUGGCCUCGUAACUUCGGGAGAAGAGGCGCUCCGUGUAAAAAUGGAGCCGCAGUGAAAAGGCCCAGGCGACUGUUUAGCAAAAACACAGGACUCUGCGAAAUCGAAAGAUGAAGUAUAGGGUCUGACACCUGCCCGGUGCUGGAAGGUUAAGGAAGGGGCUUAGUGCGCGAGUGCGAAGGUCUUGACUGAAGCCCCAGUAAACGGCGGCCGUAACUAUAACGGUCCUAAGGUAGCGAAAUUCCUUGUCGGGUAAGUUCCGACCUGCACGAAUGGUGUAACGAUCUGGGCACUGUCUCAGCCAUGAGCUCGGUGAAAUUGAAGUAUCGGUGAAGAUGCCGGUUACCCGCAGUGGGACGAAAAGACCCCGUGCACCUUUACUAUAGCUUCACAUUGAGCUUGAGUAUAAGAUGUGUAGGAUAGGUGGGAGACUAUGAAGUGGUCACGCAAGUGAUUGUGGAGUCGCCGUUGAAAUACCACCCUUCUUAUACUUAGGUUCUAACCAUUGGAAAGAAUGGGACAUUGUGUGGUGGGUAGUUUGACUGGGGUGGUCGCCUCCAAAAGAGUAACGGAGGCUUGCAAAGGUUCCCUCAGCAUGGUCGGUAAUCAUGCGUAGAGCGUAUUAGUAAAAGGGAGCUUGACUGGGAGACCGACGGGUCGAUCAGGUAGGAAACUAGGCUAAAGUGAUCCGGUGGUUCCGUAUGGAAGGGCCAUCGCUCAAAGGAUAAAAGGUACGCCGGGGAUAACAGGCUUAUCUCCCCAAGAGCUCACAUCGACGGGAGGUUUGGCACCUCGAUGUCGGCUCGUCACAUCCUGGGGCUGGAGAAGGUCCCAAGGGUUGGGCUGUUCGCCCAUUAAAGUGGCACGCGAGCUGGGUUCAGAACGUCGCAAGACAGUUCGGUCUCUAUCUACUGUGGGCGCAGGAAUAUUGAGAAGAUCUGACACUAGUACGAGAGGACCGUGUUGGACAAACCACUAGUGCACCAGUUAUGCCGCCAGGUGUAUCGCUGGGUAGCUAUGUUUGGAACGGAUAAGCGCUGAAAGCAUCUAAGCGCGAAGCCAACUUCAAGAUGAGUAUUCCAUUUUCGCUUUGGCGAAUAAAAGGGUUGUUGUAGAUUACGACGUUGAUAGGCUACAGGUGGAAGUGCAGUGAUGUAUGGAGCCGAGUAGUACUAAUUACCCGAAUGCUUCCUUUU
Molecule: ribosomal RNA, 2864 nt
Filed under: Saprospiraceae bacterium
Lineage: Bacteria; Pseudomonadati; Bacteroidota; Saprospiria; Saprospirales; Saprospiraceae
Description: 23S ribosomal RNA
Rfam family: Bacterial large subunit ribosomal RNA
Source: RNAcentral